This 524-nucleotide long non-coding RNA is filed under the name Dendronephthya gigantea. RNAcentral's name for it is "uncharacterized LOC114523413". Lineage: Eukaryota; Metazoa; Cnidaria; Anthozoa; Malacalcyonacea; Nephtheidae. The record is from RNAcentral.
UGUAAUUGUGCGCUGUUGUCUCUGUUGUCUCCGGCAUUUCUCUGUUAUCUUGCUCGCUGUAAAGAUUUUUUCACUGAUAUCGAAAUCUCUUAUAAUCUUUUGUUUUGCUGAGAGAAGUCAUGUCGAGGUGAAAUAUCUGGAGGAAAUUUUGUUGCAGAAAAAGGGCUCGUUGGGAAAUAUUCGCAUCGAAUAAUCGAGGUUGUUAAGUUAAAGCAGUUUCAUUGGCAUUUAGAACUGAAAGUGGAAAAGUGUACAGAAAAGCACAAGAUUUGCUGAAAAACAAAUUAGGAUGAACAUUACAAAAAGAAGCUUAUUUCUUGGAAAGGUACAUCGUUGUUUAGCAUCUUGAUUUGAAAUCGCAUUGUAAUUCGUAGUGGAAAAAACUUUUCAACAAAUGGAUAUGGCCAGAAUAUAACAUAAUCUGAUGAUACGCUCUGAAAUAUUGCAUCAAUCAUGUGUCGAUCAAUUAUGGGAUAAUCCAUCAGUUCACCAUAAAGAGGAAUAACUUAUAAGCCCAAUGGUGU